RNAcentral lists this transfer RNA (66 nucleotides) under Bipalium kewense. RNAcentral describes it as "tRNA-Lys". Lineage: Eukaryota; Metazoa; Platyhelminthes; Tricladida; Geoplanidae. The record is from RNAcentral.
AAUAUGGAAGCUAAUGAAGCUUUAAAUUCUUAAUUUAAAGAAGAGAAAAUAUUUUCUCCCAUAUUA